ACGUGAGUAACCUGCCCUUAACUCUGGGAUAAGCCUGGGAAACUGGGUCUAAUACCGGAUAUGACUCCUCAUCGCAUGGUGGGGGGUGGAAAGCUUUAUUGUGGUUUUGGAUGGACUCGCGGCCUAUCAGCUUGUUGGUGAGGUAAUGGCUCACCAAGGCGACGACGGGUAGCCGGCCUGAGAGGGUGACCGGCCACACUGGGACUGAGACACGGCCCAGACUCCUACGGGAGGCAGCAGUGGGGAAUAUUGCACAAUGGGCGAAAGCCUGAUGCAGCGACGCCGCGUGAGGGAUGACGGCCUUCGGGUUGUAAACCUCUUUCAGUAGGGAAGAAGCGAAAGUGACGGUACCUGCAGAAGAAGCGCCGGCUAACUACGUGCCAGCAGCCGCGGUAAUACGUAGGGCGCAAGCGUUAUCCGGAAUUAUUGGGCGUAAAGAGCUCGUAGGCGGUUUGUCGCGUCUGCCGUGAAAGUCCGGGGCUCAACUCCGGAUCUGCGGUGGGUACGGGCAGACUAGAGUGAUGUAGGGGAGACUGGAAUUCCUGGUGUAGCGGUGAAAU
RNAcentral lists this ribosomal RNA (560 nucleotides) under Arthrobacter sp. RNAcentral describes it as "bacterial SSU rRNA". It matches the Rfam family "Bacterial small subunit ribosomal RNA", at positions 115 to 687 of the family's 1533-position model. Lineage: Bacteria; Bacillati; Actinomycetota; Actinomycetes; Micrococcales; Micrococcaceae. The record is from RNAcentral.